CGNNCAUGCACGAAAGCGUGGGGAGCAAACAGGAUUAGACANNCNNNUAGUNNACGCCCUAAACGAUGUCGACUAGUUGUUGGGGGCUAUAUGCCCUUAGUAACGCANNNAACGCGUGAAGUCGACCGCCUGGGGAGUACGGCCGCAAGGUUAAAACUCAAAGGAAUUGACGGGGACCCGCACAAGCGGUGGAUGAUGUGGUUUAAUUCGAUGCAACGCGAAGAACCUUACCUACCCUUGACAUGUACCGAACCCCGCAGAGAUGUGGGGGUGCUCGAAAGAGAGCGGUAACACAGGUGCUGCAUGGCUGUCGUCAGCUCGUGUCGUGAGAUGUUGGGUUAAGUCCCGCAACGAGCGCAACCCUUGCCACUAAUUGCCACCAUUCAGUUGGGCACUUUAGUGGGGCUGCCGGUGACAAACCGGAGGAAGGUCGGGACGACGUCAAGUCCUCAUGGCCCUUAUGGGUAGGGCUACACACGUCAUACAAUGGCGCAUACAGAGGGUCGCCAACCCGCGAGGGGGAGCUAAUCUCAGAAAGUGCGUUGUAGUCCGGAUUGCUCUCUGCAACUCGAGAGCAUGAAGUCGGAAUCGCUAGUAAUCGCGGAUCAGAAUGCCGCGGUGAAUACGUUCCCGGGUCUUGUACACACCGCCCGUCACACCAUGGGAGUGGGUUUCACCAGAAGCAGCUAGCCUAACCGCAAGGAGGGCGGCUACCACGGUGAGAUUCAUGACUGGGGUGAAGUCGUAACAAGGUAACCAAGGGCGAA
This 767-nucleotide ribosomal RNA is filed under the name uncultured bacterium. RNAcentral describes it as "bacterial SSU rRNA". It matches the Rfam family "Bacterial small subunit ribosomal RNA", at positions 744 to 1510 of the family's 1533-position model. The record is from RNAcentral.